Molecule: unclassified non-coding RNA, 149 nt
Organism: Pongo abelii (Sumatran orangutan)
Lineage: Eukaryota; Metazoa; Chordata; Mammalia; Primates; Hominidae
Rfam family: Metazoan signal recognition particle RNA
About the family: The signal recognition particle (SRP) is a universally conserved ribonucleoprotein.
Source: Ensembl
GCCAGGCAUGGUGGCGCGUGCCUGUAGUCUCAGCUACUUAGGGAGGCUGAGGCAGGAGGAUCACCUGAGCCCGGGAGGUCAAGGCUGCCCUGAGCUGUGAUCAUGCCACUGCACUCCAGCCUGGGCAAUAGAGUGAGACCCUGUCUCAA